This 253-nucleotide ribosomal RNA is filed under the name uncultured bacterium. RNAcentral's name for it is "partial 16S ribosomal RNA". It matches the Rfam family "Bacterial small subunit ribosomal RNA", at positions 524 to 776 of the family's 1533-position model. The record is from RNAcentral.
UACGGAGGGUGCAAGCGUUAUCCGGAUUCACUGGGUUUAAAGGGUGCGUAGGUGGAUUAGUAAGUCAGUGGUGAAAUCUCCGGGCUUAACCCGGAAACUGCCAUUGAUACUAUUUGUCUUGAAUACCGUGGAGGUCAGCGGAAUAUGUCAUGUAGCGGUGAAAUGCUUAGAUAUGACAUAGAACACCAAUUGCGAAGGCAGCUGGCUACACGAAUAUUGACACUGAUGCACGAAAGCGUGGGGAUCAAACAGG